GGCUGGUCCAAAUGCAGUGGUGUUUAUAACUAAUUGAAUCACAACCAGUUAGUUACAGAUUCCUUUGUUCCUUCUGCAUUCCCACUGCUUCACUUGACUAGCCUUAA
Molecule: Y RNA, 107 nt
Filed under: Microcebus murinus (gray mouse lemur)
Lineage: Eukaryota; Metazoa; Chordata; Mammalia; Primates; Cheirogaleidae
Description: Y RNA (ENSMICG00000046409.1)
Rfam family: Y RNA
About the family: Y RNAs are components of the Ro ribonucleoprotein particle (Ro RNP), in association with Ro60 and La proteins.
Source: Rfam by way of RNAcentral